GACGAACGCUGGCGGCGUGCUUAACACAUGCAAGUCGAGCGGUAAGGCCCUUUCGGGGGGUACACGAGCGGCGAACGGGUGAGUAACACGUGGGUGACCUGCCCUUAGCUCUGGGAUAAGCCUGGGAAACUGGGUCUAAUACCGGAUAUGACUCCAUAACGCAUGUUGUGGGGUGGAAAGCCUUGUGCGGCUAGGGAUGGGCCCGCGGCCUAUCAGCUUGUUGGUGGGGUGAUGGCCACCAAGGCGACGACGGGUAGCCGGCCUGAGAGGGCGACCGGCCACACUGGGACUGAGACACGGCCCAGACUCCUACGGGAGGCAGCAGUGGGGAAUCUUGCGCAAUGGGCGAAAGCCUGACGCAGCGACGCCGCGU
Molecule: ribosomal RNA, 373 nt
Filed under: uncultured bacterium
Lineage: Bacteria
Description: bacterial SSU rRNA
Rfam family: Bacterial small subunit ribosomal RNA
Source: RNAcentral